GAAAUGCGAUAAGUAAUGUGAAUUGCAGAAUUCAGUGAAUCAUCGAAUCUUUGAACGCACCUUGCGCUCUUUGGUAUUCCGAAGAGCAUGCCUGUUUGAGUGUCGUGAAAUUCUCAACCUUCUGGCUUUUUUACAAGUUCAGUAAGGCUUGGAUUUGGAGGUUGCUGGCUUCUCAGAAAUCAGCUCUUCUUAAAUGUAUUAGCAAAAUCUUUGCUGACCAUCAAUGGUAUGAUAAUUAUCUAUAUCAUUGAGAAUCGGCUUCCGUCUUGGAGGGUUUUGCUUCUAAUGGUCUAUUAUAAGACAACUUGACAAUUUGACCUCAAAUCAGGUAGGACUACCCGCUGAACUUAA
RNAcentral lists this unclassified non-coding RNA (351 nucleotides) under uncultured Entoloma. RNAcentral describes it as "sequence contains ITS1". The stretch from base 1 to 105 matches the Rfam family "5.8S ribosomal RNA", at positions 50 to 154 of the family's 154-position model. Lineage: Eukaryota; Fungi; Basidiomycota; Agaricomycetes; Agaricales; Entolomataceae. The record is from RNAcentral.